UGAAGAAAACCAAUUCCAUUUACUCCCCAUGCCCCCCCGGGGCUGUGGGCAACAUCACGGCUGCCCCCGGGUCGGGCUUGUUGGGCUGAUGCCUGGGGGCUGAGGGCA
This 108-nucleotide small nucleolar RNA is filed under the name Suricata suricatta (meerkat). RNAcentral describes it as "Small nucleolar RNA SNORD23 (ENSSSUG00005010481.1)". It matches the Rfam family "Small nucleolar RNA SNORD23". Rfam says of the family: The members of this family belong to the C/D class of snoRNAs which contain the C (UGAUGA) and D (CUGA) box motifs. Most of the members of the box C/D family function in directing site-specific 2'-O-methylation of substrate RNAs. Lineage: Eukaryota; Metazoa; Chordata; Mammalia; Carnivora; Herpestidae. The record is from Rfam by way of RNAcentral.